RNAcentral lists this ribosomal RNA (252 nucleotides) under uncultured bacterium. RNAcentral describes it as "partial 16S ribosomal RNA". It matches the Rfam family "Bacterial small subunit ribosomal RNA", at positions 524 to 776 of the family's 1533-position model. The record is from RNAcentral.
UACGGGGGGGCUAGCGUUGUUCGGAUUUAUUGGGCGUAAAGCGCGUGUAGGCGGUUUUAUAAGUCUGAUGUGAAAGCCCUGGGCUCAACCCGGGAAGUGCAUUGGAUACUGUAAGACUUGAAUACGGGAGAGGGUAGUGGAAUUCCUAGUGCAGGAGUGAAAUCCGUAGAUAUUAGGAGGAACACCGGUGGCGAAGGCGGCUACCUGGACCGAUAUUGACGCUGAGACGCGAAAGCGUGGGUAGCAAACAGG